RNAcentral lists this ribosomal RNA (1100 nucleotides) under Pediococcus parvulus. RNAcentral describes it as "bacterial SSU rRNA". It matches the Rfam family "Bacterial small subunit ribosomal RNA", at positions 366 to 1460 of the family's 1533-position model. Lineage: Bacteria; Bacillati; Bacillota; Bacilli; Lactobacillales; Lactobacillaceae. The record is from RNAcentral.
CCNNAAUGGACGAAAGUCUGAUGGAGCAACGCCGCGUGAGUGAUGAAGGCUUUAGGGUCGUAAAACUCUGUUGUUGGAGAAGAACGUGUGUGAGAGUAACUGCUCAUGCAGUGACGGUAUCCAACCAGAAAGCCACGGCUAACUACGUGCCAGCAGCCGCGGUAAUACGUAGGUGGCAAGCGUUAUCCGGAUUUAUUGGGCGUAAAGCGAGCGCAGGCGGUCUUUUAAGUCUAAUGUGAAAGCCUUCGGCUUAACCGAAGAAGUGCAUUGGAAACUGGAAGACUUGAGUGCAGAAGAGGACAGUGGAACUCCAUGUGUAGCGGUGAAAUGCGUAGAUAUAUGGAAGAACACCAGUGGCGAAGGCGGCUGUCUGGUCUGUAACUGACGCUGAGGCUCGAAAGCAUGGGUAGCGAACAGGAUUAGAUACCCUGGUAGUCCAUGCCGUAAACGAUGAAUGCUAAGUGUUGGAGGGUUUCCGCCCUUCAGUGCUGCAGCUAACGCAUUAAGCAUUCCGCCUGGGGAGUACGACCGCAAGGUUGAAACUCAAAAGAAUUGACGGGGGCCCGCACAAGCGGUGGAGCAUGUGGUUUAAUUCGAAGCUACGCGAAGAACCUUACCAGGUCUUGACAUCUUCUGCCAAUCUAAGAGAUUAGACGUUCCCUUCGGGGACAGAAUGACAGGUGGUGCAUGGUUGUCGUCAGCUCGUGUCGUGAGAUGUUGGGUUAAGUCCCGCAACGAGCGCAACCCUUAUUAUUAGUUGCCAGCAUUAAGUUGGGCACUCUAGUGAGACUGCCGGUGACAAACCGGAGGAAGGUGGGGACGACGUCAAAUCAUCAUGCCCCUUAUGACCUGGGCUACACACGUGCUACAAUGGACGGUACAACGAGUUGCGAGACCGCGAGGUUUAGCUAAUCUCUUAAAACCGUUCUCAGUUCGGACUGCAGGCUGCAACUCGCCUGCACGAAGUUGGAAUCGCUAGUAAUCGCGGAUCAGCAUGCCGCGGUGAAUACGUUCCCGGGCCUUGUACACACCGCCCGUCACACCAUGAGAGUUUGUAACACCCAAAGCCGGUGGAGUAACCUUCGGAGCUAGCCGNNUAA